UACGUAGGGUGCGAGCGUUGUCCGGAAUUAUUGGGCGUAAAGAGCUUGUAGGCGGUCUGUCGCGUCUGCUGUGAAAAUCCGGGGCUCAACCCCGGGCUUGCAGUGGGUACGGGCAGACUAGAGUGUGGUAGGGGAGACUGGAAUUCCUGGUGUAGCGGUGAAAUGCGCAGAUAUCAGGAGGAACACCGGUGGCGAAGGCGGGUCUCUGGGCAGUAACUGACGCUGAGGAGCGAAAGCGUGGGGAGCAAACAGG
This 253-nucleotide ribosomal RNA is filed under the name uncultured bacterium. RNAcentral's name for it is "partial 16S ribosomal RNA". It matches the Rfam family "Bacterial small subunit ribosomal RNA", at positions 524 to 776 of the family's 1533-position model. The record is from RNAcentral.